AUGGCAUCUUGGGUUGGAGCAUAUGUUCUUGGCAUUGGUGAAUGGAUCAUCAAGCGCAUGCCACUUGUGCGCCACAUCUACAAUGCAUCCAAGCAAAUUAGUGCUGCUAUAUCGCCAGAUCAAAACAAACAGGCAUUCAAGGAGGCAGUCAUCAUACGACAUCCUCGUAUUGGGGAAUAUGCAUUUGGAUUCAUUACCUCAUUAGUCUCGCUCCAGAGCUAUUUUGGUCAAGAGGACCUUUACUGUGUCUAUGUGCCGACCAACCAUCUCUACAUUGGUGAUAUCUUCAUAGUGAACUCGAAGGAUGUGAUAAGGCCUAAUCUUUCUGUGCGUGAAGGCAUUGGUAACUCCUAA
This 354-nucleotide ribosomal RNA is filed under the name Triticum aestivum (bread wheat). Its description in RNAcentral is "partial small subunit ribosomal RNA". Lineage: Eukaryota; Viridiplantae; Streptophyta; Magnoliopsida; Poales; Poaceae. The record is from RNAcentral.